ACAUUUCACCCGAAAUUAAAUUUGAGAAAAAAGCACUCCAUUCACCGGAAAUUAUAAACUACGGAGAUGAUUCAAAGCUAAAGUACCUUCCACUUACAAAGUGGACACUGAAGCAAUUCGAGAAGCAGAAUUCUCAAUUCUUUCACUACUGCCCGAGUGCCAAGUGCUAUUUCCAAAAUCGACACAAAUUUCAUUGGAAACCUUAAAUCGAACCCAAAGACUUUUUGAAUUGUUUGAAGACAAAAACAUCAGUUCUUAUGAAGCUGACAGAUUAUUAAAACAGCUAAUGUUUGAAUCAAUGAAUUUAUCAUCAGUGGACCCUUCGGGUCGCCUAGUUAAGGUAUCCAGUGAAGGAUUUAAAAGAACAUUUUUUUGGGACGAUAUUUUUACAAACUUAAAGAAUCAAAACUCAAGACAAAGUUCAAAGAAUUCAAUCGUGAAGUUUGUGACCAGUUUGAGCGGAGAGGAAGAAACUGAUUUAGUAGAGAAGUACAGAAAACGAAACCUCAGUUCACAUUGCUGUAGUGAG
Molecule: long non-coding RNA, 529 nt
Organism: Octopus sinensis (East Asian common octopus)
Lineage: Eukaryota; Metazoa; Mollusca; Cephalopoda; Octopoda; Octopodidae
Exons: 3
Source: RefSeq, a predicted model, not a curated record